Molecule: transfer RNA, 85 nt
Filed under: Alphaproteobacteria bacterium
Lineage: Bacteria; Pseudomonadati; Pseudomonadota; Alphaproteobacteria
Description: tRNA-Leu
Rfam family: tRNA
About the family: Transfer RNA (tRNA) molecules are approximately 80 nucleotides in length. Their secondary structure includes four short double-helical elements and three loops (D, anti-codon, and T loops). Further hydrogen bonds mediate the characteristic L-shaped molecular structure. tRNAs have two regions of fundamental functional importance: the anti-codon, which is responsible for specific mRNA codon recognition, and the 3' end, to which the tRNAs corresponding amino acid is attached (by aminoacyl-tRNA synthetases). tRNAs cope with the degeneracy of the genetic code in two manners: having more than one tRNA (with a specific anti-codon) for a particular amino acid; and 'wobble' base-pairing, i.e. permitting non-standard base-pairing at the 3rd anti-codon position.
Source: RNAcentral
GGGCGCGUGGCGGAACUGGUAGACGCGCAGGAUUCAAAAUCCUGUUUCCUUGGAAGUGAGAGUUCGAUUCUCUCCGCGCCCACCA